Microcebus murinus (gray mouse lemur) is the source of this 748-nucleotide non-coding RNA. Lineage: Eukaryota; Metazoa; Chordata; Mammalia; Primates; Cheirogaleidae. The record is from RefSeq and is a predicted model, not a curated record.
UCUUCACUCAGAAUCACAUGUGCAGUUGAUCUAAGAUAACUUAGAUCUUAGAUCCCUGUCAAAAUGGAUUCAUUUCUGUUCUCUUUCCCAGAGGACCCUAACAGUAAUUCUUUCUGCUCUGAAGAUAUGCCAAGACCACAAGAAUUUGAAUGCCAUAGAACACCUGCAAACCAGGCAAGAAGGAAACAAAGAAGGCCCUGGCAGAUUGGAUGGCAUCUGUCUACGUUGAAGGUAGAUCUUCCCCACUCAGUCCACUGACUCACGUGCCGAUCUCUUCCGGAAACACCCUCAUAGGCAUACCCCAAAAGAGUGCCUUACCAGCUAUCUGGGUAUUCCUUAAUUCAGUCAAGUUGCCGGCUAAAAUUAACCAGCACACUAAUCUCAUCUGGAAACACACUCACAGACACACCUAGAAAUAAUAACCAACCAGAUAUCUGAGCACUUUGUGGCCCAAGCAAGUUGAUGGGUAAAAUUAACCAUCACAUUUAGGAACUUUGAAAAAGAAAUGUUGUGUCUGCUUUAGACUGAAUAGAUCAGAAUUCAUGGAUGUGGGCCAAAGCAUCAGUAUUCUUUUAAUUGAUUUAUUUAUUUGAAUUUUGUAGUGAUUAUAUUUGCAGCCUGUGGUCUUUGCAAGUGGAGGCGGGAUUAAAAAGAAAGCAUAAAGAUGAAAAAUAGGCAGAGCAUAUUCAAGAGAGCUGUCCAUGUAUUCAACUUCAAAUAGUACAGGAAAGAAUAUAACAGAAAAUAG